CAGGCAUUGGAAGUGAAUAGGUAUUUUAAAAUAGCAUUAAUCAUCAAAAUAAAACAAUAUUAUUAAAUUAAUGUUCCUGAAACAAGGCACAGAGUCAUAAACAGUUGCCAUUUAAACACAGUUGAUUAAAUAAAUUGUGCUAAUUCAAUUAAGUUAAUUGUUUUAUCAUGUACUACAUUGUUUAAAAAACACAUAUUAAAAGAG
RNAcentral lists this long non-coding RNA (204 nucleotides) under Mytilus galloprovincialis (Mediterranean mussel). The record is from RNAcentral. Lineage: Eukaryota; Metazoa; Mollusca; Bivalvia; Mytilida; Mytilidae.